RNAcentral lists this ribosomal RNA (468 nucleotides) under uncultured bacterium. RNAcentral's name for it is "partial 16S ribosomal RNA". It matches the Rfam family "Bacterial small subunit ribosomal RNA", at positions 28 to 507 of the family's 1533-position model. The record is from RNAcentral.
GACGAACGCUGGCGGCGUGCUUAACACAUGCAAGUCGAACGGAAAGGCCCUGCUUUUGUGGGGUGCUCGAGUGGCGAACGGGUGAGUAACACGUGAGUAACCUGCCCUUGACUUUGGGAUAACUUCAGGAAACUUGGGCUAAUACCGGAUAGGAGCUCCUGCUGCAUGGUGGGUGUUGGAAAGUUUCGGCGGUUGGGGAUGGACUCGCGGCUUAUCAGCUUGUUGGUGGGGUAGUGGCUUACCAAGGCUUUGACGGGUAGCCGGCCUGAGAGGGUGACCGGCCACAUUGGGACUGAGAUACGGCCCAGACUCCUACGGGAGGCAGCAGUGGGGAAUAUUGCACAAUGGGCGGAAGCCAGAUGCAGCAACGCCGCGUGCGGGAAGACGGCCUUCGGGUUGUAAACCGCUUUCGCCUGUGACGAAGCGUGAGUGACGGUAAUGGGUAAAGAAGCACCGGCUAACUACGUG